CCUACGGGAGGCAGCAGUGAGGAAUAUUGGUCAAUGGGCGAGAGCCUGAACCAGCCAAGUCGCGUGAAGGAUGAAGGUUCUAUGGAUCGUAAACCUCUUUUAUAAGGGAGUAAAGUGUGGGACGUGUCCUAUUUUGUAUGUACCUUAUGAAUAAGGAUCGGCUAACUCCGUGCCAGCAGCCGCGGUAAUACGGAGGAUCCGAGCGUUAUCCGGAUUUAUUGGGGUUAAAGGGUGCGUAGGCGGCUUUUUAAGUCAGCGGUGAAAGUCUGUGGCUCAACCAUAGAAUUGCCGUUGAAACUGGCAGCCUUGAGUAUGUUUGAGGUAGGCGGAAUUCGUGGUGUAGCGGUGAAAUGCUUAGAUAUCACGCAGAACCCCGAUUGCGAAGGCAGCCUGCCAGGCCAUGACUGACGCUGAUGCACGAAAGCGUGGGGAUCAAACAGGAUUAGAUACCCCGGUAGUC
Molecule: ribosomal RNA, 460 nt
Filed under: uncultured bacterium
Lineage: Bacteria
Description: partial 16S ribosomal RNA
Rfam family: Bacterial small subunit ribosomal RNA
Source: RNAcentral